AAGCAUAAUGAGGGUACUUUUUAAGCAUUUCCUUAAAAUUUUCCCAACUCUCAUAAAUUGACACUCCAACAAACUGGAAAAAAGAUGUUAUAUCAUUCCUAAGCUU
Small nucleolar RNA from Dendrobium catenatum, 106 nucleotides. Lineage: Eukaryota; Viridiplantae; Streptophyta; Magnoliopsida; Asparagales; Orchidaceae. The record is from RefSeq and is a predicted model, not a curated record.